This 1801-nucleotide long non-coding RNA is filed under the name Homo sapiens (human). Its description in RNAcentral is "non-protein coding lnc-ZNF891-2:3". Lineage: Eukaryota; Metazoa; Chordata; Mammalia; Primates; Hominidae. The record is from RNAcentral.
GCCUGUCGCUUGGAGACGGAGUGACUCCAAACGGGCUCACACGGUUUUCUGAGAAACAUAAAGGGAAACCGAAUCCACCAAUAUAUAUAUAUAUUUUCUUGAGACGGCGUCUCGCUCUGUCACCCAGGCUGGAGUGCAGUGGCGUGAUCUCGGCUCACUGCAAACUCCGCCUCCCGGGUUGACGCCAUUCUUCUGCCUCAGCCUCCCGAGUAGCUGGGACUACAGGCGCCCGCCGCCACGCCCGGCUAAUUUUUUUGUAUUUUAGUAGAGACGGGGAGUCACCGUGUUGCCCAGGCUGGUCGCGAACUCCUGAGCUCAGGCAAUCCGCCCGCCUUGGCCUCCCAAAGUGCUAGGAUUACAGGCGUGAGCCACCGCGCCCGGCCCACCAAUACUCAAUUGGUUUGACUUCAGUUGAGGAAACCAGAAAAAAUUUAAAUAUAUUUAUGGAAAGAAGUUCUGGAGACUGGGAAGUCCAAGGUUGAGGGACACUUCUGGUAAGGACUUCCUUGCUAGCAGGACUCUCUGCAGAGCCCCAGCUAUUGGGAGAGUGGCUGAGUACUGAGUCUAUCACUACUUGGAUGAUACAGCUUCUGUCUUCAAGAUAAGCAGAAUUGUUCAGAAUCCACUGGAAUCCAAAUUCAACUUGGGCCUCAAUUUCUGCAGAUGGACACCUCUGGACUCCAAAAAAUCCAAGGACAUAAAAAACUUAAGCAGCCUUUAUUACAUUUAGUUCAACAAGUUUAAAGUAGUCUAAAACCAGCCUCUGCCUGAUCAAACUAGAAGGCCAGAAACAGAGGGCAGCUGAAGGAAACAGCUCACUCAAGAUGCCAACCAGGCCUCUGUUCAUGCCAUCAUGGAUAAGAUCUAUUUUUGAGGGUCUAAUUAAGUUAAGAACUAUAAUUGUAUGUAUGUUGGGAUUCCUUUUCCUUCUUGUCAAGGUACAGAUGGAGCAGAGCUAUCUUGUAUGUCAGUAGCCCCACUCAUGCAUUCUUUGUACUCAGACCUGCGUGACUUGAAAGCAUGAAGUAGCUAGAAUGGUCAUCACCCCACUUCCCUCAAGAUUGAGGAGUGCACAAAAAGGGGGGUACCUGUAACUGUGGGACCAGCUCAAACAAAUUAACCAUUUCUUAAGUUGUUGCAGGUACACACACAGCCAAAAUUGCCUUGGCACAUGCAAUGCAAAAAGCUUUAAUUUCUAAUUGUUAUCAUCACCAGCCUGACAGGCCUGCAUUGGCAUCAUCUGGGUCUAGCUGGAAAUGCCAUAAAAUCUUGACCCACCCCAAUCACAGAGACAGAUCUGAGCAUUGCCUCUUGUCUCCUUGCCAGUUGACUUGGUAUAAAGCUUUUUUUUUUUCUUCCUCAAAAGAGGGAACCAUAAUGUUGGCUUCUGUGCAUGUUGUAAAGUAAGCCUAUUGCUCAGUAACAAAUAUAUCUUUCCAUUUUUUCUUUUUUCUUUUUUUUUUUGAGAUGGAGUCUCGCUCUGUCACCCACGCUGGAGUACAGUGGCGCAAUCUCGGCUCACUGCAAGCUCUGCCUCCCGGGUUCACGCCAUUCUCCUGCCUCAGCCUCCCAAGUAGCUGGGACUAUAGGCGCCCGCCACCACUGCCAGCUAAUUUUUUGUAUUUUUAGUAGAGAUGGGGUUUCACCAUGUUAGCCAGGAUGGUCUCGAUCUCAUGACCUCGUGAUCCACCUGCUUCAGCCUCCCAAUGUUAGCCAGGAUGGUCUCGAUCUCAUGACCUCGUGAUCUACCUGCUUCGGCCUCCCAAAGUGCUGGGAUUACAGGCGUGAGCCACCAUGCCCG